Long non-coding RNA from Halichondria panicea, 5122 nucleotides. RefSeq lists it as uncharacterized. Lineage: Eukaryota; Metazoa; Porifera; Demospongiae; Suberitida; Halichondriidae. The transcript is spliced from 8 exons. The record is from RefSeq and is a predicted model, not a curated record.
GCCGAUCAGAUACACUGCUGUGGCACAGUUUGGGAUUGAUCACAUGCUGAAGCCAAUCAUACAAGAUUUAAAGAAGCUAGAAUCAGCAAUUGGUGUGGUGUGCCAUUCCGUGGGUGUUGUUUCCGCUGACAAUCGGUGGCUUCAAGGAGAGUGCUUCUGCAUUUAGAUUCUGUCGACAUAGUGCGUCAGAUAUUCAAACCAAGCGUAGUGUCGGAUCAUUGUGAUCUUUUGGAGCGUGAUGACUUGACAAAUGCUGAUCGACACCACUAUUCUAUUGUUAACAGACGUGCCUUGUUAGAUACGCUGGAUUUUUUCAGUGUCUCUGGCAUCUUGGAAGGCGCUCUUCCAUUAGAAGUCAAGCUCAUGCCGUACAUAAUUAUGUAAACUGGAUCAUACUCUAUAUAAGCGUUGCGUAACCUCUUGGUAUCAGGUUUAUAUGGAAGACUUUUCACCCUCGAUAUACAAUUGAGAGGGUUUCAAGAAGUUGAUCUUCAGAUUCUAAUCUGCAUCCACAUGGUAAAGCACACAUCUAUGUGGUGUGUGUGGUUGGUCCCUUUUGAUGCGUACUCCUUGUUUCAUGUACCUACAUGUAGCUAUACGUACAUUAUGUCACAUUGUAGCACAAUACUAUUAGCUACGUGCUAGCUAGAAUAUAAUUGCUACAUUCAGGUUUAUAAUUCCACAGCAAUGCCCCUUGUCAUUGGUCACUUGACAAUGAGCACUGGGGAAACUUUUUAUGCCUUUUUAUGCCUUCUGGACAUAAUGGAUAUUAUCUUUGUGGAGCAUCAGCAUGUGGUGACCUGGAGGCUCUAAUUAGUGACCACCACUCCACUUUUAUGGAGCUCUACCCACAUGCGUCAAUCACUAUGAAGAUGCAAUAUGCCAAGACUUUUGUUGGAGUGAGUCUGAUGUUAAUGUUUGUUUACAUGUAAAGUGUACAGUUGUAACUGCACUAUUCGAUCAUGUAAACUGAUACUUGAGUUGGACCACUUGUCAACACUGGACUACACGAUUCGAGGCCAAGCAUGGGAAAUUUCACUAACAUUUGUUAUUCACUCGCAUUAUUCACUCGCAUUACAACUAAUGCUACCUUUCAUUAAAUCGUGACACGGUCCAGGUACAUUAUAUUAUAGUAUAAUUGUAUACAUGUACGUACAAUAGCUAUAGGGUACCGUGGAACAUGCAAUUGUCUGUUCGUCUUUAUGUUGAAUGUUGAUUGCAAUGAAGGUAUUUAAAAUACUUUUCCCUCUCUUCCACUGUGGAUGUCGACAUCUGUAAGUCAACAAAGAUGUGUGACAUGCCCUAGCUGUCUCUAAUGGUACAAAACACCUUGUGGAUUGAUUGUCAAAAUUGAAGAUGAAGACCCUCUGAUUGGAAAUAUUCACAGCAUACUUAUGUCCGGUGAAAAUGUCUUUUUAAAUCUGGAUAUAUAAAUCUGGGUGUGGAUAUGGACAUGGAUUUAUAAAUCUGGGCAUAGAUAUAGGCAUAGGCAUGGACUGAGCAUAGCAUAGAUAUAAAUCUUGGCAUGGAUUUAUAAAUACAGACAUGGAUUUAUAGAUAUUAUCUGGACAUGGAAUACAGACAUGCACUGGGUGUCACAGCAACACCGGGGUGUCGAUUUUUCUGGUGCUACUGCAACACCGUGGUACUCUAGUAACACCAUGGUGUUAUACCAAUACCAAUACCAAUUACGGGUGUUGCUACAACACCAGGUGUCAAAAGAAGUUUAAAUUGCACCACAAUGGUGCUACAAGCACUCUAGUGAUGUGUUAAUUGACAAAAAUAAUUAUUGUACACCAGCACAAACUGUACCUAAGGAUACAGAACCCCUAAGGAUACAGAACUGAGAAGGUAAAGUAGUAGAAAUAUUUGGGCAGUGAUACAAGCUGGUAACUAAUUUUUGCCGAACAAGAUAAUGUUGACGGGAAGAUGAAGAGAACGAGACAGUAUAUGCAUGAUAGUGUUAAAGAAAAACAGUAUCCAUCAGUUCCAUUUCAUAUAUCUAUGCUAUGCUCAGUCCAUGCCUAUAUCUAUGCCAAAAUUUUAUACAUUAUAUAUCCAUGUCCAGAUUUAUAAAUCCACACCAUAAUCCACACCAUAUCCAUGUCCAGAUUUAUAUAUCCAUGUCCAGAUUUAUAUGUCCAUGUCCAGAUUUAUAUAUCCAUGUCCAGAUUUAUAAAUCCAAUCCAAGUCAUAUCCACACCCAGAUUUAUAUAUCCAUGUCCAGAUUUAUAAAUCCAUGUCAGAUUAUAUAUCCACACCCAGAUUUAUAUAUCCAUGUCCAGAUUUAUAUAAUCCACACCCAAGAUGUCAUGUGACACUCAUGUGAUAGUUUACAGCACAUGGCUAGUCUCAACAACUUAGUCCAAGGAAGGAUGGCCCAAACACCAACUACUUCUACUCAAAACCUAACAGUGAAUGUAAAUGCCCUCUCGAAUGCAGCCUCAGACAGUACCAGCAGCUCACAGUCUCCUGUAUCAGCGACCAGUCGUGAUGGUACAUAUGCUGUUAUUUCGGCAGCCAGACGUUUUGUCGGAGGAGGGAAACUAUACAUGCUCUUGUAGUGUCAAUUUGGCAUAGAUGUAGAAAUGUCAGUGAACACUAUUCUGCCUUCUUACCUGAAGAGGAGAAGAAGCAAUGCCAGUGGAGGAGGAGGGAAAAAAAAACCAAAGUCCAGCAUUAUGAUCGAGAUAUUAUUUGCAUACCGGACGAAUAUGAUGCGAGCGGAAAGUUUCGAGCUAAAUUGGCAUCAUCUGGUUUGGUUGGCAAGCUUUUUGUGGAAGAUGAGAUCUGUUCCGUUUUCAGUAAACCUAUGGGAGGGAGAAUGGACUUUCCUUUUAUCUAUCUCCAAGCAACAGGUGCAGGGUCGCGGACCCUAACAGCUCCUAACAGCUCCUUCAGUAUCACCAUCGUUCAGGUGGACUGCUCCACAGGUAGCGAUCAAGCUGUUUAUAUAAUGGCCAAGGACAAACUCAUUGACAUGUACGAAUUAAGUGUUAUGAAGAGUAUAAAAAUUAUAGCACAGUUACAAAUGUGUCUGUAAUUGUGUAAUUAAGAAUUAGCUUACACUUGUCAUGUGGUAUUAUAUAUAAUAUAUGAUAGUACUUAGGAAAAGGGCGGCAUUAUUCAUUUUGCAGUAUAAGCAAAAACGUCCAAAAAUAUGCACUGCACUAUACAUACAUCCAUCAAAUUCCAGAUUUUUUCAUAGACACGCAGAUUGACACCUCCCCUAGCUGUGCACAAAGUUUUAGCGUCUUUCUUUCCAACCGAGGGAGCAGACAGCUACAUAAAGAGACUUUUUUACUUCCAGUCUACGGUAUUUACGUUGUCGUGACACGGAGAUUUUCUACUAGUUUACGGAAAUUACCGUAAAAAUAUAUUUUUUGAAGAUGCUGCAGCUGCGCUCUAGUUUCUGCUUAGUUUCUGCUUAGUUACAGAAACCAGGCUGAUUUAAGCCACCUCUUCUGCGAAGAAAAUAACCAAGCCAAGUGCCGAUUACUGCCUGGAUGAUGAAGACUUCGAUAGAGAGAGUGGAGAGGCUCCACCUGCAGGGCAACAGAUUGCCCACACUCUUGCACGAUUGCCACCAUUGCCACCACAGAAUCCAACAGGGUGUGACUUCUCGACCAGACAGAGCACGACAGAAUAUAAACGUUUUUAGACGGGUGUUCGGGACACAACGGUAUCCUCUCCCAACGACGUCCUUGAAUUUAGGAGUGACUGCAGCGAUAGGACUUGAUCAUUCUUGGCAAACUCAGUGCAAGCAUGAGCGUGAUUGGCGGUUUGGUGGGCAGACUUCGCAGACUUCACAAACACGUAGACACACCAAGGUCACGUUGCGUAUGCUCGUUGCGUAUGCUCAUCAAGGGUGGCCAAUAUGUUCUUCAAUGUUCUUCAAUGUUCCGUUUCUUGCACACAGUUGGUAAGAAAUAAUAAUAACAUCAACACAUAAAAAUUAGAAAAAAGAGGAUGAAGAACCUGGCCAAGACAAAUGGGCUUGUUCCUAGGGUACAUGGUAACAAACACCGCCUACCAAAGAAUACCCUAUCCCACGAGGACAUUAAGGAAAUUGUGGUAGGUAUAACUUAAGUACUAUUAUUGAACACCGCAAAAAAGCACAUUUCUCACCAAUUACACCGAGCGUUCCGAGAUACAGCGGCACUGAUAUCAAGCUGCUUGUCGAAGCGAGGCAGUACCAGAGUUCCACAAUGGCAACAGGAGGAAGGGCGUCAGCAUACACAACAUUCUGCAGGUCUCCUUCCUGCAGUUGUGGUGAUGAAACCCAUGUCCGACCUGUGCUGGCACGUCCAGCCAGCAACACAGCGCUGGAGCCACAAACAGUGACAUAGAGAAGUCGUCAGCACUACAGGAGUACCUGGAUCACUUGUAGUACACCAAGCAAUGUAAGGAGUCUGUGAAGAAGCAUUAGGUAUUCUUACUGCUCCUCCACUGAACUCCUCCACUGAACUGCUGUGUUCCUCCUAACUCUGUGGAUAUUGAGGCACACUACUCAUUUGAUUUUGCACAGCAGGUCCACUAUCCGUCCAACCCUCUCCAACCUGGUCCUGCCCUUUUUGGUCUCCAGAACGAGGCUUUUCCACGCCAGGUGUUCUUCUUAAUUGAUGAGUCUGGAGAUUGUGAGAAGGGGGCAAACGUCUACUCCACUACUACUUUGAACACCAUGGUCUAGGUGAGAAGACUGACAACUGUGUCGGACAGAACAAAAACAACUAUGUUCUGUCGUACCUUCUUUGGAGAGUGAUGACUGGCAGACACACACAGAUCACACUCAGCUUUUUAGUGGUCGGACACAUUAGUGGUCGGACACAUGAAGUUCGCUCCUGACUGGAGUUUCGGACUUUUUAAGAGGCGAGGACUGACAUUGGCUGUCUCCAAAACAUCGUAGAUGACUGGAGUUUCGGACUUUUUAAGAGGCGAGGACUGACAUUGGCUGUCGUAGAUGUUGUCAACAAGUCUGGCAGAUGCAACACAGCCCAACUGGUAGCAGAGGGGACCAUUGUACCAACCUACGACUUCUUGAUUCCUCACUUCAGGAAACUGAUCGGGGGCCACCACUUCAGAGUACACUGCCGGGGUAGUGUUCAUGAAGCAGAGGGUAGAC